AUGAGGCACUAUUUUGUGGAGAAUCUCACAUACCCCGAGUCGUACUUUCAUCGCCGGUUUAGGAUGAGAACCGAGUUGUUCAGGCGCAUUGCAGAGAAACUAGCGAGCCAUGACCGGGUUUUUCAGCAGAGGAGGAAUGUCGCCGGAGAGCUCGGGCAUAGCACCUUUCAGAAGGUGACAGCUGAGGGAGUCCUGGAUUAA
Molecule: ribosomal RNA, 201 nt
Filed under: Triticum aestivum (bread wheat)
Lineage: Eukaryota; Viridiplantae; Streptophyta; Magnoliopsida; Poales; Poaceae
Description: partial small subunit ribosomal RNA
Source: RNAcentral